GGCGAUCAGAUACCGCCCUAGUUCUGACCGUAAACGAUGCCAACUAGCGAUCCGCCAGUCGACUCAUCGCUCUGGUGGGGAGCUUCCCGGAAACGAAAGUCUUCCGGUUCCGGGGGAAGUAUGGUUGCAAAGCUGAAACUUAAAGGAAUUGACGGAAGGGCACCACCAGGAGUGGAGCCUGCGGCUUAAUUUGACUCAACACGGGGAAACUCACCCGGCCCGGACACCGUAAGGAUUGACAGAUUGAUAGCUUUUUCAUGAUUCGGUGGAUGGUGGUGCAUGGCCGUUCUUAGUUCGUGGAGCGAUUUGUCUGGUUUAUUCCGAUAACGAGCGAGACUCUGGCCUACUAAAUAGUUGGCACAUUGCCACUGUGUGCACAACUUCUUAGAGGGAUUUUCGGUGUUCAGCCGCACGAAAUUGAGCAAUAACAGGUCUGUGAUGCCCUUAGAUGUCCGGGGCUGCACGCGCGCUACACUGGCAAAAUCAGCGUGCUUGUCCUCCCCCGAAAGGGGUUGGUAAACCGAUGAAAAUUUGCCGUGAUUGGGAUCGGACAUUGCAAUUAUUGUCCGUGAACGAGGAAUCCCUUGUAAGGGCGAGUCAUCAACUCGUCCUGAAUACGUCCCUGCCCUUUGUA
Molecule: ribosomal RNA, 634 nt
Filed under: Rotylenchulus reniformis
Lineage: Eukaryota; Metazoa; Nematoda; Chromadorea; Rhabditida; Hoplolaimidae
Description: SSU rRNA
Rfam family: Eukaryotic small subunit ribosomal RNA
Source: RNAcentral